UAAGCCUGCCAGCCUGAUAGAGCCAGCACCAACAUGAAUAUCAACCCCAAAGCUCUUGACCUAAUAAAAAAUAGCUUGAUGGGGGAAUCUGAAGCUUUUGUAAAAACUAGUGACUGAGUUUGAGAUAGGGAAAGAAUUUUAGGAGGCAUCCGCCCCUCUUUCCUCUUGGUCAAUGAUGGCUUCUGCCUAGUUGUGCUUUCUGCAUGUUGUGGGCGAAAACGGAGAUAAAAGUAAUUAUUCUACAGCAACUUAAUCUUUUGCUUAUAUUUGGUAGAAAGUGAUAAACUUCCAACUUUCAGUCAUUAUUUAGCAUGUAAUGUAUAAAUUAGCUGGAAAAAAUCUGUUUGAAUAGAUGAAGACAUAUUUUCUACGGAUUUUACCUUGAAAGUGAGAAAUACAAAGAUGGAGAAAUCAAGGCGCAAAGAGGUUAAGAAGCUUGCCCAGGGUUUGCCGGGACAUAGAUGGGAGUACUAAUUCACAACUAGAUGGAGAACCUGAUACAAGCAAGCAGAACUCUGGAAGGCAACAUCUUGAGAGCCCUGAAGUGACAAUGGGAUUCUGGGAAAGUCAAUUCCUGGAGCCCAGUCUCUUUAUCUGCAAAAUGGAAAUAAUUAUUACAAUGGAGCCUCUCCUGCCUGCUGGGCGGCAUCACAGGAGACAGUGUUUUAGAAAGUCCUCUGUAUGUUUGAGGUAGCAUUAACACCACCUCCCCCUGCCCCCCGCCAAUAAGGGCCUACAAAAGAAACAGCCAGGGAAACUGAGUCAGUAAGCACUGGAUUUGGGAGUUUGAGUAUUUCCAAGCAGAAGUCAUGAGGUCAAACUUUGUAAUACUAAUAAAUAGGAAGAAGCACAGGAAUCCCAUUUCUUUGAUCAACUUAUUAAUUUUUUAGUAAAUUCUCUCUCAUCAAUUGUGCUAUAAUGUUUUUGCAUCCCAGAAAGUUUUAUACAAUAUCUUGUGUUUCAUGCUCCUUGUUCAUCAAUAUAAU
RNAcentral lists this long non-coding RNA (986 nucleotides) under Rhinopithecus bieti (black snub-nosed monkey). RNAcentral describes it as "lncRNA (ENSRBIG00000045791.1)". The record is from RNAcentral. Lineage: Eukaryota; Metazoa; Chordata; Mammalia; Primates; Cercopithecidae.